GACGAACGCUGGCGGCGUGCUUAACACAUGCAAGUCGAACGGAAAGGCCUGCUUUCCCUUGUGGAUUUCGGGUACUCGAGUGGCGAACGGGUGAGUAACACGUUAGUGAUCUGCCCCCAACUUGGGUAUAAGCCUGGGAAACUGGGUCUAAUUCCCGAUAGGACUGCAGGGUGGUGCCUGUGGUGGGAAACGAGUUUCUAGUGGGUGGGGAUGAGCUCGCGGGCUGUGAGCUUGUUGGUGGGGUUAUGGCGUACGAAGGCGGCGACGGGUAGCCGGCCUGAGAGGGUGGACGGCGAGAUUGGGCCUGAGCAACGGCCCAGACUCCUAGGGGAGGCAGCAGUGGGGGAUAGUGGACAAUGGGCGGAAGCCAGAUGCAGCGACGCGGCGUGGGGGAUGACGGCCUUCGGGUAGUAAACUCCUUUCGACAGCGAGGAAGCGACGUGGUUGGAAGGGUGGUGACGGUAGUGGUAGAAGAAGCACCGGCUAACUACGUG
RNAcentral lists this ribosomal RNA (494 nucleotides) under uncultured bacterium. RNAcentral's name for it is "partial 16S ribosomal RNA". It matches the Rfam family "Bacterial small subunit ribosomal RNA", at positions 28 to 507 of the family's 1533-position model. The record is from RNAcentral.